AGGACGAACGCUGGCGGCGUGCUUAACACAUGCAAGUCGAGCGGUAAGGCCUUUCGGGGUACACGAGCGGCGAACGGGUGAGUAACACGUGGGUGAUCUGCCCUGCACUUCGGGAUAAGCCUGGGAAACUGGGUCUAAUACCGGAUAUGACCUCCUAUCGCAUGGUGGGUGGUGGAAAGAUUUAUCGGUGCAGGAUGGGCCCGCGGCCUAUCAGCUUGUUGGUGGGGUAAUGGCCUACCAAGGCGACGACGGGUAGCCGACCUGAGAGGGUGACCGGCCACGACUGGGACUGAGACACGGCCCAGACUCCUACGGGAGGCAGCAGUGGGGAAUAUUGCACAAUGGGCGAAAGCCUGAUGCAGCGACGCCGCGUGAGGAGUGACGGCGUCGGUU
RNAcentral lists this ribosomal RNA (393 nucleotides) under uncultured soil bacterium. Its description in RNAcentral is "bacterial SSU rRNA". It matches the Rfam family "Bacterial small subunit ribosomal RNA", at positions 26 to 423 of the family's 1533-position model. The record is from RNAcentral.